UACAUAGGUCCCGAGCGUUGUCCGGAUUUAUUGGGCGUAAAGCGAGCGCAGGUGGUUUAUUAAGUCUGGUGUAAAAGGCAGUGGCUCAACCAUUGUAUGCAUUGGAAACUGGUAGACUUGAGUGCAGGAGAGGAGAGUGGAAUUCCAUGUGUAGCGGUGAAAUGCGUAGAUAUAUGGAGGAACACCGGUGGCGAAAGCGGCUCUCUGGCCUGUAACUGACACUGAGGCUCGAAGGCGUGGGGAGCAAACAGG
This 252-nucleotide ribosomal RNA is filed under the name uncultured bacterium. RNAcentral describes it as "partial 16S ribosomal RNA". It matches the Rfam family "Bacterial small subunit ribosomal RNA", at positions 524 to 776 of the family's 1533-position model. The record is from RNAcentral.